Brassica rapa (field mustard) is the source of this 4996-nucleotide long non-coding RNA. RefSeq lists it as uncharacterized. NCBI's taxonomy places the organism in Eukaryota, Viridiplantae, Streptophyta, Magnoliopsida, Brassicales, Brassicaceae. The record is from RefSeq and is a predicted model, not a curated record.
UCGUUUUAUCUUGUUAACGGUUGACUAACUUCUGUUAGAGUCAAUGUAGAUUUAGGCACGUUUUAAGAAGUUCGGGUAGUUUUUUUGAAUUAUAAUUGAGUUGAGGUCGUAUUUGGCACUGAUCAAUUGUUCGGGUCGUAUUUGGCACGACUGAAAUAGUUUGGGUCGAAAUUGGCACUUUUCCCGAUGGAUGGAUGGCUGUAAAAGUGAAGGAACUUCUUUUGAGAUGAGAAUAUGUUCUCAACCUUUGCAUGUAUGUGGACUGGAGGAUUCAAUUAUAUAUUUAGUAAUUUACAAGUCUAAUAAAUUGCAGUAUUUAAUGUAUGGUAGAUAAAUAAAUUUCGUAAAAUAUUCAGGCCUCUAUUUUAUAUACUACCAAAUUAUAUUCUUCAGCUUUUUUAUUUUAUUUUUCUACUUGUGAAUAUGAUUAAUCUGCAAGUUGUCCAAAAAUACUGAUUUUAUUCAACAAGAUAUUCCACUAUUUAAAGUAUAUGUUCAAAAUCCCACUAUAUAAAAGGAGCUAAUUUAGAGUUCAUCUAAGGAUUCCACGUAACACAAAAUAUUCCCAGCCAAUCAGUUGAACACGUCAUCAUGGUUUUGUCGAGUAUAUUUUCUCAUACAUUUGGGCCUGGUUUUAUUUCUACAAACCCAAACCCCUACCUAAUAUUUAACCAGUAUAUCGUUACCAAUUCUUGACCCAUCGACUUCUUCUUCCUUCUCGGCCGAUUCACCCGCUUAUGGUCUCAUCACUACCACUAUCACUCAUAAAUCAGUCAUAAACACAUAAAGAUCCAAUCAUUAUUGCAGUAAAAUAAAGCCAAUCAACUCUUCCAAUUCCCACAUCUAAAAACUAUAUAUAUGGCUCUCUUUACGGUGCUCUUAUUCACUGAGAAGCUACCUUCAUCAGUUUGUAACUCUUGCCUAAUCCUUCUUCGUUAGGCAACGCUCUCAUACAUUUAUCCUUUUGCCCUCUUUAUUUAGUCUACAAUCUUCGUCAAGUUCGAUCUAUUUAGGUGAUUAUUUCGUGUCCGAAGAGAGCAGUCCGUAGCAAAGCGGCGGCUGCAUGGGAUCCAAACCUACCAAAAAGGCCAGUCAGCGCCUUCUUCAUUUUCAAGUAAUCAUCUCCUACCGAUUCAAUUUUCUGUGUUUAGUAGUUUCCAUGUGUUAAACUUAUUUCUGUACAAAAGUUCAUCAUCUGGGUACUGUGAAAUCUAUUACAGGUUAGAUGGGUAGAAUCCUUUGUCUGUUAUUGUGAUGUCAAAAGUAUCUGUCUGUUAAUUUUAUAAAUGUUUUGUUUCAUUGUGUAUAAUCAAGUGCAGGAGUAGGAUUGUGAGUAGAACUUGAAGUUUGUAUAAUUAGUAUAGAUGGCUGCAAAGUAUCUGUCUGUUAAUCUUAUAAAUUUUUGUGGGGCUGAUUAGUGGAGGGCUGAACAGAGUGCAAGAGCAAAAGAUUACACGUUACACAAAGCUCUUGAAGUAAAGACAUUGUGGCUGAGAGAGAUCAGAGAAAUUCGGAGUAUUUAACAGAGAAAAAGAAACAAGAAACAUGGAGCCGAAUAAUAGACGGUUACAGUGACAGGAAAAGCAAAAGACUACCAACUUUUCAAAACGGUGAAGUGAUGACAAUGAGCAAGGACACGGCAGAUUAUGGAAAAUAAAUGAAGGUAGAAGGGGAAAACGAGCUGCUCAUUACGCCGGAGUGGCUACUGAAAAACGGGAAUGUGGUUGGUCAGACAGUGCAAGGGAUUAACACAACUGCAUGAACGGUAGAAGGUGCAGUGGUAAGAAUGUGCCGUUGAUUUACAAAAUACAGCAGCGCCUUCUGUUACGGUGGUUGGAUAUACAGACAGCCAGAAAGAGAAAGCUCAACACAAAUACCAAGAAAUGCACCAGGUACAGCACAACUUAAGCCGAGGAUUUUAGCUUAUUCAAGUAUCAUAAUAGUGUCAUGUGUUUCUCAAACAAAUAUUUUGGAUUUGUUGAGGGAGGCGAGGAAGAGAAGCGACCCGGGUUUGUCAUAUAAAGACAUGCUAUGGUUCGUAUGUAAGAUUGUAAGAGAAAUAUGAAGUAAAGAAAAUGUGUUUGGUUAGUUUACAAAAAAAAAAUGUUUGGAUAUGGAACAAAAGGGCUGGUCGGAGAGCUGCGUGGGAAUAACAUGAGACUGUGCUUCAGAAUAUUUCUCUGCUAAAUUAAAACUGUUCUCUUUUAAAAAUAUGUUCCAAGUAUGUAUUGGUUGGUGUAUCGAUGUAACUUCUUCAAAUAUCUUUUGAUUGCAAUUAAAUAAGAGAAAAUGCUCGAAAUUUUACUAAACUAAACAAUAGUAAUAAAUAAUAAAAUUUAAAAAAUAAAUAAAAAAUAUUAUCUCAUAUCGAUAUACAAAGAAGAGAAAGAAAAGAAAAAUACCAAAACACUAAAGAUCAUAAAUUAAACUAAAAAGAAACAUAACACAUAAAUGUAUACAUAUCUUAUAUUACUUCAAUAUAAUUGGUUUUUGGGAAAUGGUUUAAACCCAGAUCUAUUAAACACACAGACUAAAAAGAAAUAUUACGUCAAUAUUUUAGUUAACAAACAAUAAUUCCAUUACACUAAAUAAAUUAUUAUUUAUUACAAAAGCAACAAUAUUUGUUAUAGCAUAAAUUAUUUAACAAAAUAAUUAAAUUUUAAACAUCAAAGGAAUUAAACAAAAUAAAAUCUGACGUCAAAAAAAAAAAAAACAAAAUAAAAUCUAAAAAAAAAAAUUAAAGAAUAUGAAUUUUUAAGACUUCUUAAUAUAUUAUGCAUAUUAUAAAUAGUUUUAUAUAAAUGAUAAGAAAUAGAUGCUAAUGUCGUGUUCAUAUAUAACUCGGAUAGCCCAAACAACCACAAUACUCCAAACGAAAAUAAAUAUAUCCAAAAUACUUCAUGCAUAUUCUGGAUCCAAACUUACAAUCAAUUGUUACAUAUAGCUACUUCCAAUAUAUAUUUAGUAGGUUAUAAUAUCAAAUAAAUUUAGUGUUUAGUUACUUAAAUUUCAGAAACAAAAGUAUUUACACAUCAUACAAAGAAGAGAUAUACCACAAAAAAAAUAAUCAAAAAUUACUAUGAACUUUCUUUUUUUUUGGAUAAAUAAAUAUUAUGCUCUUUAUUAUCCAAUCAAUAUUUGUCAAGAAAGAAUUUAGAAAACAAUUUACCAAAUGCUAAUGUUCUCCAACUGCUCUCAUAUAGAACUAUUAGUAGAGCAUUUACAUUUAUUUAUGAACUUUCUUUUAAACAUGCAUACACAUUAGAUAAAAUAGAAGAAAAAAUAAACAAUUUUGUAAUCUAAAACUAUAUUUUAUAUCAAAUUUAGUAUGUUUUUCUAUAGGGAAUGACCAAAUGAAAAAUUUUAAACAAUUUCAAAAUAUCAGAUAGAAAAAGUAUUUUUGAGAAAAACUUAUUUUUGAGAAAAACACUAACCCAAACAUAUAUAAAUUAUAAAGGUGAAGUGAAAAUAAGAGGGUGAUUGAUUGGGCUGUAGAUACUCUUUUAGCUUUAAAUUUUAUCUACAAUAUUUAAAUUACAAUCAUGAUUUAAUUUAAAUUUUAAAGCUACAACAAAAGUAAUAAAAAUGGUUGUAAAAAAAACAAAAAAAACUCGUAUUUUCUAAAGCAAGAUUUUCUGUGCUACAGAAAAACAUUAUGACUGUAGAAAUAUAUUUACAGUUACAGCAGAUACAUCUUUAUAAAUUAUUUUACAGAUUAAUCACAUAUUUCAAAACUACAUCCUAACCAAUCACAUUACCGAGUUUUAUUCUUACUAAUUAACUUUUUAACAAACACAUGAAAUUUAUUACUCUCCUUAACCCCGUGAACAAUAUUUCAAUUCACCUAUACAUAUGUUCUUACAAGAUAAAUCACAUUGACCUACUUAGAAAAAAAGACAAACACCAAAUACUAUAGAAGCCAAAUAACAAAUUCACAACAAAAAAAUGAUAGAAAAAACCAAUUUAUUUACUUUACUAUUUUAGAAAUUUUAGUUUAUUGGCUAUAAAUUAAUGUAAUUUUUUUACAAACACAAAUAGAAUAAUUGAGAUAACUUUAUAAUGUAUAAUCCGCGCGCAGCGCGGAAAAAGAAUCUAGUGUUUAUAAUAAGUUAAUUUCUUCAUAGUUAAGUUUGUCUACUUUACAUGUUUCAAUGUAAUUUCAUCCGUUGCAGUGUUUAAUGUAGGUAUUGGCUACUGCUACAUGUAUGAUGCUCGGUUUAGGUUAAAAAGUUUAUACUGUUUUCCAAAAUUUAUUAGUAAAGCAAGUAACGUAGAACCAAUACAUAUGUCAACGUUUUUUUUUUUGACAACAAAUAUGUCAACGUUAUUAAAACUCUUACAAAGAACAUUGAGAAACUUUGUUAGAAACCCUUGUGCAGGUUAUGCUUUUGUGAUUGGCUCUACUUUAUUAGUAUUGUAUUUAUGAGAUUAUACAAUGAGGGUUUGAUUGGUUGAAGCUGUAAAUUUAUGUUUUUUUAUCUAAGAUUUAGGUUUUAGAUUUUUAGCUUUGGUUUUAAUUUGUUUUGUUGUAGAGAUUUUUUUAGACCACUGAAUAAAAACUCUGAGAAAGUGUUUUUUUAAAGCUAACAUAUAAAAAUAAAAUAUGAUGUUUUCUAGUUUUUAUAAUGUUUUGGGUCUAGAUUCAAUUUUAAAAAUAAAAAUAUGAUUGUUUCAAAAAAGACUGUAGAAAUUAAAAUGGCUUUCCACAGCUUCUACAAAACAACCCCUGAAAUAUUUAUACCACUGGAGAAAACCAAUCAACUAGUUUUUAUAAUGUUUUGGCUCUAGAUUCAAUUUUUAAAAAAUAAAAAUAUGAAUUGUUUCAAAAAAGACUAGAGAAAUUAAAAUGGCUUUCCACAGCUUCUACGAAACAACCCCUGAAAUAUCUACGCCACUGGAGAAAACCAAUCAAGUAAAGUCAUAAACAAUGUCUUAUAAGUAAAAUCAUUAGAACAGUGAUCCACUUUCCAGUUAAAAAAAAACAGUGAUCCACUCU